GAACUGUGAUGAGCACAUUUAUCCCGAAUCUGACUUGAUGAGACAAACUCACGGAUCUGACUGCUGAGUU
Small nucleolar RNA from Trichomycterus rosablanca, 70 nucleotides. RefSeq annotates it as small nucleolar RNA SNORD50. Lineage: Eukaryota; Metazoa; Chordata; Actinopteri; Siluriformes; Trichomycteridae. The record is from RefSeq and is a predicted model, not a curated record. The transcript has a single exon.